This is an RNA transcript of Magnolia sinica, 1042 nucleotides long. RefSeq lists it as uncharacterized. NCBI's taxonomy places the organism in Eukaryota, Viridiplantae, Streptophyta, Magnoliopsida, Magnoliales, Magnoliaceae. The transcript is spliced from 4 exons. The record is from RefSeq and is a predicted model, not a curated record.
GCUCUUGCUCUCUGUCCCACCUCUAAACCCUAAUAUCCACCGUUCAUCAUCAUCUAAUUAGGGUUUUCUUCUCUGUUAUUUCAUUCUCUGUAUUCGAAAGGAGGCGAAAGAAAGAAGAAGAAUAGGAUGGGCGGAGGUGAUCAUCAUCAUGGCCAUCCAGCAGAUGGGGCCCACGGAGAUUUCAGGAACAAGGUAUGGAGCAUGACGGGUGGGCCAUACUGCAGGCCCGUACACUGGAAGCGCAACACGGCGAUCGCCAUGUUCGGCAUCUUCCUUGUCUGCAUCCCCAUCGCCAUGAAAUCCGCCGAGCUCGAGCAACGGCCACAUCAUCCUGUUCGCCCAAUUCCUUCGCAGCUUUGGUGCAAAAAUUUUGGGAAAAAGGAAUAUUGAUAUACCUUUUCUUUUAUAUUAGUGCAUCCAUCUUGGGCUGUAAGGAACAGAUGCCUAGCUUGGGAUGAAGGGGGAACCGGAUACUGCAUUCACGCAGCAGCUUACAGUGUUUGCCCGUGUAAGGGUGGAUCAAAGCCUCUGACUUGUUACCUUCUCCUCCCACUACCCGACUAUCUGUGUUUCAUGCAGACAAUAAAUUUUGAGGUGCUCAAAUAAUGUAAACCUAGGACCUCUACUUUGAUCCUCUAGUUGAGUUGCAAGUGUGGCCCGGUGCCUCAACCAUGAGGUUGCUCGGUUCAGUCCCAGCUCACCUAUCAAAAGAAAAUGCAGUUUAGCAUCUUCUACAGAUAAAUCUAUCUCAUGGCCUCCUUGUUAGGUAUUACUAAUCGGAAAUUGCUCCUAUUUCUACUACGCCAAAGAACUGCUGAAUGUUUAGGUGUCUGUGGAUGUUCCAUGCGUAUCUUUUUUAUUUUAUUUUUUAGUCAUAUCUUUGUUUUACUGCUGUCCAUGUGUGAGCUCCGAGCUUUCUAUCAGGUGGGUGGUGGGCGAGUCUUUAUACGUUCUCCCUUAAAAAUAUAGCAGUUGUGCUAAGGUGGGCUAGUGCAUGAAACUUUUUAUCCUUCGCAUGAAUCUUGACGUGAUAUUUCAAGCA